CCUACGGGUGGCAGCAGUGAGGAAUAUUGGUCAAUGGACGAGAGUCUGAACCAGCCAAGUAGCGUGAAGGAUGACUGCCCGAUGGGUUGUAAACUUCUUUUAUAAAGGAAUAAAACGAGGCACGUGUGCCUUUUUGCAUGUACUUUAUGAAUAAGGAUCGGCUAACUCAGUGCCAGCAGCAGCGGUAAUACGGAGGAUCCGAGCUUUAUCCGGAUUUAUUGGGGUUAAAGGGAGCUGAGAUGGGUUGUUAAGUCAGUUGUGAAAGUUUGCGGCUCAACCGUAAAAUUGCAAUUGAUACUGGCAGUCGUGAGUACAGUUGAGGUAGGCGGAAUUCGUGGUGUAGCGGUGAAAUGCUUAGAUAUCACGAAGAACCCCGAUUGCGAAGGCAGCUUACUAAACUGUGACUGACAUUGAUGCUCGAAAGUGUGGGUAUCAAACAGGAUUAGAUACCCGAGUAGUC
This 460-nucleotide ribosomal RNA is filed under the name uncultured bacterium. RNAcentral's name for it is "partial 16S ribosomal RNA". It matches the Rfam family "Bacterial small subunit ribosomal RNA", at positions 338 to 795 of the family's 1533-position model. The record is from RNAcentral.